RNAcentral lists this ribosomal RNA (253 nucleotides) under uncultured bacterium. Its description in RNAcentral is "partial 16S ribosomal RNA". It matches the Rfam family "Bacterial small subunit ribosomal RNA", at positions 524 to 776 of the family's 1533-position model. The record is from RNAcentral.
UACGUAGGGUGCGAGCGUUAAUCGGAAUUACUGGGCGUAAAGCGUGCGCAGGCGGUUUUGUAAGCCAGAUGUGAAAUCCCCGGGCUUAACCUGGGAAUGGCAUUUGGGACUGCAAGGCUUGAGUGCGGCAGAGGAGACUGGAAUUCCUGGUGUAGCGGUGAAAUGCGCAGAUAUCAGGAGGAACACCGGUGGCGAAGGCGGGUCUCUGGGCCGAUACUGACGCUGAGGAGCGAAAGCCAGGGGAGCAAACGGG